GCCCCGGUGGUGCAACAGUUAAGCACUUGGCUGCUAACCAAAGGGUUGGUGGCUCGAACUCACCCAGUGGCU
Molecule: transfer RNA, 72 nt
Filed under: Loxodonta africana (African savanna elephant)
Lineage: Eukaryota; Metazoa; Chordata; Mammalia; Proboscidea; Elephantidae
Rfam family: tRNA
About the family: Transfer RNA (tRNA) molecules are approximately 80 nucleotides in length.
Source: Rfam by way of RNAcentral